RNAcentral lists this ribosomal RNA (253 nucleotides) under uncultured bacterium. RNAcentral's name for it is "partial 16S ribosomal RNA". It matches the Rfam family "Bacterial small subunit ribosomal RNA", at positions 524 to 776 of the family's 1533-position model. The record is from RNAcentral.
UACGAAGGGGGCUAGCGUUGCUCGGAAUUACUGGGCAUAAAGGGAGCGUAGGCGGACAUUUAAGUCAGGGGUGAAAUCCCAGAGCUCAACUCUGGAACUGCCUUUGAUACUGGGUGUCUUGAGUGUGAUAGAGGUAUGUGGAACUCCGAGUGUAGAGGUGAAAUUCGUAGAUAUUCGGAAGAACACCAGUGGCGAAGGCGACAUACUGGCUCAUUACUGACGCUGAGGCUCGAAAGCGUGGGGAGCAAACAGG